ACACCUCCUGCCAUAGAGGGACGGAAAAAGAUAGAGAGAAGAGGAGACAGGCACGGGAGAAGAACCGGAGAUUGCAUCACGUCCAGCUCUUAGCGCAAAGCCAUCCACAUCCAUCCAUCAAACCAAGAGCAGCACUUGACGUACAGGUUAGGAGCAAGAUCGGAGGAGAUCAAUGGAGGCGAAGCUGAGUUUUCCCAACGGUGCAGCCCGAAGACUUUGACGGACAGGAUCAACCCAGCGACGGCGUACAGGUGCGGCUCGGCCGUCGAUGCAGAUGGGUGUACAUGUGCACGUGGGUUUACAGGUACCGGAGCUAGCCACGCAGCCCAGCGGACGGGCGCAUCUCAGCCAACAGGAGCGACCCCGUCGAGCGACAUAUCUGGGUGCUGCAUAGACCGGUGUACAGGUUAUCUACGAGGCCGGCCCGAAGUCCUCCGUACAAGUGCGGCCUAGUGACUCGGUGACGGCGUCGAGGCGCUGCGGACUCGCAACCUUUUGCCGCCAACUUCAUCGGACCUUGCCGCGGCCACGAUGUUCAGCGGUGUACAGGCUCAAGCACGACGCAGUUGACGUACAGGAGCAACCCGGCGUACACGGAUGACACCACAUGUACAACCCUGCACAGAUUGGCGGACAGGCGCAGGUCCGCGGCGACGUACAAGUGCAGCUCGGCCUCGCAUGCAGGAGCAGCUAGACACCCCGGUGUACAGGUGCAGCUCAGCAGUUGAUGCAGGCGGCUCGACGCCGGCGCACACGGUCAAGUCCCGAUGGACACGAGCUGCUCUAGGCGUACAGGUGAUCGGCCGAACGGACGCGAUUUACCGGUGACCCAGCUGAGCACGUAGCAGCGGAGCGAGGGUACGUCCAGGCGGACAGGUACAGCGGCCGGCAGCACGGCGGCGUCGCUUGGCAUCUCGCUGCUGUGCGCUGGCCUCGCCAUUCGCUGUUGGUGGCAAAAUGUACAUGAACACGCAGGAAAGGUGCAUCGCUCGCGUGCGUGGCCAACACGUGCAUGAGCUGCUAUGCUCUCCACGUACAUGUUGUUUCUGGAUGUCCAGGUUGCUGCGGUGCUGGUGCUGCUUCACGACACCGCUGGAUGGCGAUACCAACUCUACUCCAUUGUGACCUCGUGAGACGGCGCCCAAGCUGCGCCGACCGCCGUACACUCGGCGUCGGGCUCAGUCACGGCGCCGACCACACCGGCCAUGCCGACAUGAGCAUGCGUUGGUUUUACACCGACGCCGGUCUCCUGAUAAAUUACUCUCGCGGGGCGUACCCCUUGCACACCCCGACGAUGCCGCUAAGUCGUCAAGAAGUCCUAGCUAACCGGACUGCAUCAUGCUACUUCAACAAUACUCAUCAUCGCCGCUCAAGACCGACGAGGCGCGACGGCGAGGGCGGGCGAGGCCGCAGCACAGGCCACGCCUACAGCGGCGCAUGUACCGACGAGGACAUGGGCUCUGCCGCUGCCCACACACAUCUUCACCACCAUCAUGCAUGCAGGACGUGAAGCGAAGACGACCACACGGCUUAAUCGGAGGUAUCUCGCGGCGUAACCCGCGGGAGUAAUUAACCGGGAGCCUUCCGAGGCCUCGGGAAUCAGGAGACUGCAAUCGCCCUAGUCAGGCUGGCCGCGCUAGUAGGCCACGGAGCGCAACACAUGGGAAUUGUAUUUGUUAACUAUAUGAUUAAUGAAAUACUGUUCCCGCA
Long non-coding RNA from Lolium perenne, 1710 nucleotides. RefSeq lists it as uncharacterized. Lineage: Eukaryota; Viridiplantae; Streptophyta; Magnoliopsida; Poales; Poaceae. The record is from RefSeq and is a predicted model, not a curated record.